RNA transcript from Vigna radiata var. radiata (mung bean), 2430 nucleotides. It is a transcript of the gene named UDP-glycosyltransferase 73C3, with no coding region annotated. Lineage: Eukaryota; Viridiplantae; Streptophyta; Magnoliopsida; Fabales; Fabaceae. The record is from RefSeq and is a predicted model, not a curated record. The transcript has 3 exons.
GUCUCUACUUGAAUGUUUUUUCUGCUUGUUUCCAAUUCAAUCACGACAGCACCACUGGUCAUGUCGUCUAUCCUAAAGAGGAAGUGUUUUUUUAAAUAAUGAUCUAAAGAAGUGAUCAGCCUCACGAAGAAGACAGACAAGGUUUGUUACCCACACCCAGGACAUAGAAACCUGCAAUGGAUUCAACGGCCCUUAGCCACCUACACUUUGUUUUCAUCCCCUUAAUGGCCCCUGGUCAUCUUCUCCCCAUGGUAGACAUGGCCAAAUUGUUGGCACAACGCCAAGUGAAAGUGAGCAUAGUGACCACACCCCUCAAUUCCAUCCAAUUCCAAGCUAGCAUAGACAAAGAGAUUCAAUCCGGCUCACCUAUUCAAAUUCUAAAUGUCCAAUUUCCAUGUGCGGAGGCUGGUCUACCAGAGGGAUGUGAGAGCGUAGACGCUUUGCCUUCAAUGGAUCUACUAAACAACUUCAACACCGCCUUAGACUUGUUGCAGCAGCCAUUACAAGAGCUACUUGAAAAGCAAAGACCCUUCCCAAGCUGCAUAAUUGCCGACCAAAAUAUCAUUUGUGUGUCUGAAGUUGCAAACCAGUUGCAUGUCCCAAUAAUAGUAUUUGACGGAACCAGUUGUUUCUUUCUACUAUGCAAAUACAAUUUACAUAAGGAUAAAGUCUAUGAAGCUGUGUCAGCUGAAGAGAAAUUUCUUAUCCCCGGAAUUCCCCAUAGAAUUGAACUGAAAAGAUCUCAACUCCCUGGGAUGUUCAAUCCCGGCACAGACCACGAGUUGAAUGCUCGACGCGAGAAAGUAUUGGAAGUUGCAGAAAAAUCAUAUGGGAUAGUGGUUAAUAGUUUCGAAGAGUUGGAAGCAGAGUAUGUUAAAAAGUAUAAAAGAUUUUUGGGUAAUAAAGUAUGGUGUGUUGGCCCUGUGUCGUUGUCCAAUAGGGAUGAUAUUGACAAGUCUCUAAGAAGUAGGAGAGACUUAAGUAAUGAGAAAGAACAUAUAAAGUGGCUAGAUUCAUGGUCUCCGAGGUCAGUGAUUUAUGUCUGCUUUGGUAGCCUAAACCGUGCAACACCAGAGCAGUUGAUAGAGCUUGGGAUAGGAUUGGAAGCGACUAAAAGGCCAUUCAUUUGGGUGCUUAGAGGUGCAUAUGGAAGAGAGAAGAUAGAGAAAUGGCUGGUGGAAGAUGGGUUUGAAGAAAGGGUGAAAGGGAGAGGGCUUUUGAUCAAGGGUUGGGUACCACAAUUGUUGAUCUUAUCACAUAGAGCAAUAGGAGUGUUCGUGACACAUUGUGGAUGGAAUUCCACACUCGAAGGGAUUUGUGCUGGCGUGCCAUUGGUAACUUUUCCUCUCUUUGCUGAACAGUUCCUCAAUGAGCAACUUGUUGGAGAAGUGUUGAAGAUUGGGGUGAGUGUGGGAGCUGAAUCUGUUGUGCAUUUGGGAGAGGAACAUGAGUCUCGGGUUCAGGUGACUAGAGAAAAUAUUAAGGAUUCUAUUGAGAACGUAAUGGGUGACGGCCAAGAAAAAGAAGAGAGAAGGGAAAGGGCUAGAAAGUAUGCAGAUAUGGCAAGGAAAGCAAUAGAACAAGGUGGCUCUUCUCACCGCAACAUGUCCCUACUAAUUGAUCACAUUGUGCAUGUCAAAGGGUUACACCAAAGCUAAGACACAAAUGGGUUCAUCCUUGUUUGUGUUGCUUUGUGUUGUAAGGUGGAAUACUUUUGGCUUGUUUUCCCAUCACCAAACAGCUAAAGGAGGUAAUUUGGUGGGUGGAAAGGUCAUAUAAAGAGAAGCUCGUAGCUACUGUUUUAUUUAAUUGAAUGUUUGUUCCUUUAUCUGUAUGAGAAUACAAGAAAUGGUAUGGUUGUGUCCCUGUUGGUUCACGAGACAGAGAAAGUAGCCACAUAAUCUGUGGGCAUAAUAUGCAAGACACGAUCCUGCUGGAUUCACAUUGAGAGCUACCAUGAACUGUGUUAGCAUUACCUUUUUGGAUAUGAAUUCCAAGCUGCAACGUGCGAGCACCUUGUGAUGCAGAUAUGCAUGAGUAUUUUACUAUUAUAAUAAAUGGUCUAGGGAGUUUAAGAUGAUGGGUUAUGUUGUUUAGGAGAUAAGCAUGUGAGAAAACAGAGAGAAAAUAACAAAUUGUUGCAGAAAUGACAUUUAUUCUCACCUCACAGUUUAAAGCUAAAACAAGAAUAUUUUCAGCGGAGUAUAAACAGAAUGGUGUUAGUACAUAUUUUUUUUGGACAAAAUAUUAUGAUUAUCUUUGUUCUAGAGUAUAUGAUAAAUCAAUAGGCAUAACUUUACUAAACCUUUGAAUUACCUUCCAUUUAUUUGCUGUUAGUUUUAACUUUGAUGGUUGUGUUGUGUCAAAGUUAACAUCCAUGUACAUGUGUUUUUUUAUCAGCAAAGUAUAUAUAUCGAUAUAUAUUGGAGC